CCGAGGCUGAAGUCUUCAGUCUGAAGUCCCUUAUCCGAUCUCGAAGUAUGAUCUUUCUGUCGUGUGAGAGGGAUACAAUUGCCAUGUCUGUAUUGAAAUUUGCUCCCAGGAAUAUCAGUUCUCUUGAAGGAUGCAAGUGACUCUUCUCGUAAUUGAUGAGCCAACCGAAAUGAGAUAGAGUGUCGAGGACUAGUUGUCUGUGUUGGAAUAUUGAUGCUAGGUCCGGGG
This is a non-coding RNA of Pelobates cultripes (western spadefoot toad), 228 nucleotides long. The record is from the annotation of a GenBank genome assembly. NCBI's taxonomy places the organism in Eukaryota, Metazoa, Chordata, Amphibia, Anura, Pelobatidae.